Molecule: ribosomal RNA, 111 nt
Filed under: Escherichia coli
Lineage: Bacteria; Pseudomonadati; Pseudomonadota; Gammaproteobacteria; Enterobacterales; Enterobacteriaceae
Source: RNAcentral
UGGCGGCCUUAGCGCGGUGGUCCCACCUGACCCCAUGCCGAACUCAGAAGUGAAACGCCGUAGCGCCGAUGGUAGUGUGGGGUCUCCCCAUGCGAGAGUAGGGAACUGCCU